Molecule: ribosomal RNA, 699 nt
Filed under: Hemicycliophora poranga
Lineage: Eukaryota; Metazoa; Nematoda; Chromadorea; Rhabditida; Hemicycliophoridae
Description: partial large subunit ribosomal RNA
Rfam family: Eukaryotic large subunit ribosomal RNA
Source: RNAcentral
GAAAGUUGCAAAGCACUUUGAAGAGAGAGUUAAAGAGGACGUGAAACCGGUAAGAUGGAAACGGAUAGAGCCAGCGAAGUCGCUCGUAUUCAGCCAAAGACUCGGUGUCGCCGGCUGUCGGGUUUCUAAUCGAGCACGGCAGUUGGUUGGCGCUGUUUCGAGGUGCAUUUGCGGGCGUUUGCGCCGAGACUUGCGGAGCAGCUCUUGGAACCGCGUCUAGAGGCUUCCCUCUGGGUUGUACCUGGUCGUGGCUACAGGUGUUUGCUCUGCUCGUACCUGGGUCUGGCCUACGGGGUCAGGUUGCGCCGUUGUUGCCUAGCGGUGGUAUCGCAUGCGAUGCCUAGCUUGGUGGCUGCGGUUCGGCUUGACUCCACUGACUCGCUCUCGGUGUAGAAGCUGGUCAUCUCUCCGACCCGUCUUGAAACACGGACCAAGGAGUUUAGCGUAUGCGCGAGCCAUUGGGUGCAAAACCCACAGGCACAAUGAAAGUAAAGGUCCAGUCCCUGGGCUGACAUGUGAGCGCCGCGGCUUCGGCCCUGGUGUGCAGCAUGGUCCCGUUGCAGUCGCUUGCGACGCAGCGGAGACAGAGCGUAUGCGCUGAGACCCGAAAGAUGGUGAACUAUUCCUGAGCAGGACGAAGCCAGAGGAAACUCUGGUGGAAGUCCGAAGCGAUUCUGACGUGCAAAUCGAUCGUCUGAC